RNAcentral lists this unclassified non-coding RNA (680 nucleotides) under Hevea brasiliensis (rubber tree). The record is from RNAcentral. Lineage: Eukaryota; Viridiplantae; Streptophyta; Magnoliopsida; Malpighiales; Euphorbiaceae.
GAGUGCAUUUCGAUUCACAUUGGUCAGGCCGGUAUUCAGGUCGGAAAUGCCUGCUGGGAACUUUAUUGCCUUGAGCAUGGCAUUCAGCCUGAUGGCCAGAUGCCAAGUGACAAGACCGUCGGUGGAGGGGACGAUGCUUUUAACACCUUUUUCAGCGAAACUGGUGCAGGGAAGCACGUCCCUCGCGCUGUGUUUGUUGAUCUUGAGCCCACUGUUAUUGAUGAAGUGAGGACUGGAACUUAUCGCCAGCUUUUCCACCCUGAGCAACUUAUUAGUGGCAAGGAGGAUGCUGCCAACAACUUUGCACGUGGCCACUAUACCAUUGGGAAAGAGAUUGUUGAUCUCUGCUUGGACCGUAUCAGAAAGCUUGCUGACAACUGCACUGGCCUCCAGGGAUUCUUGGUGUUCAAUGCUGUUGGAGGUGGUACUGGUUCUGGACUGGGAUCACUUCUCUUGGAGCGUCUCUCUGUUGACUAUGGCAAAAAAUCAAAGCUUGGUUUCACUGUUUAUCCCUCGCCUCAGGUUUCCACAUCAGUUGUAGAGCCAUAUAAUAGUGUUCUUUCAACUCACUCACUCCUUGAGCACACAGAUGUGGCCGUGCUCCUUGACAAUGAGGCCAUCUAUGACAUAUGCAGGCGCUCUCUUGACAUUGAGCGUCCAACUUACACCAAUCUUAACCG